Molecule: unclassified non-coding RNA, 240 nt
Filed under: Glomeraceae sp.
Lineage: Eukaryota; Fungi; Glomeromycota; Glomeromycetes; Glomerales; Glomeraceae
Description: partial contains 5.8S ribosomal RNA and internal transcribed spacer 2
Rfam family: 5.8S ribosomal RNA (bases 1-71)
Source: RNAcentral
GUGAAUCAUCGAAUUUUUGAACGCAAAUUGCGCUUCCUGGCAUCCCGGGAAGUAUGCCUGUUUGAGGGUCAGUAUUAAUAAAAAAUCGGUUUAGUUACAAAUUGUGAGGUUUCGGAAGUUUGGGCUAUCUUAACAUUUUUGGUUAAGAGGCUUAAAAUUGACCUUUUUUGUUCAUGUAUAUAUGUACAUAAAUUUAUGUAUUUGAGUGUUCUUAAUGCCAAAAUCUUAUUAGAUUCGAUC